RNAcentral lists this ribosomal RNA (388 nucleotides) under uncultured bacterium. Its description in RNAcentral is "bacterial SSU rRNA". It matches the Rfam family "Bacterial small subunit ribosomal RNA", at positions 29 to 419 of the family's 1533-position model. The record is from RNAcentral.
AUUGAACGCUGGCGGAAUGCUUUACACAUGCAAGUCGAGCGGCAGCGCGGGGCAACCUGGCGGCGAGCGGCGAACGGGUGAGUAAUGCAUCGGAACAUGUCCAUGUCGUGGGGGAUAGCCCGGCGAAAGCCGGAUUAAUACCGCAUACGCCCGAGAGGGGAAAGUGGGGGACCGCAAGGCCUCACGCGAUUGGGUUGGCCGAUGUCCGAUUAGCUAGUUGGCGGGGUAAGAGCCCACCAAGGCGAUGAUCGGUAGCUGGUCUGAGAGGAUGAUCAGCCACACUGGGACUGAGACACGGCCCAGACUCCUACGGGAGGCAGCAGUGGGGAAUUUUGGACAAUGGGGGCAACCCUGAUCCAGCCAUUCCGCGUGAGUGAAGAAGGCCUGG